This 253-nucleotide ribosomal RNA is filed under the name uncultured bacterium. Its description in RNAcentral is "partial 16S ribosomal RNA". It matches the Rfam family "Bacterial small subunit ribosomal RNA", at positions 524 to 776 of the family's 1533-position model. The record is from RNAcentral.
UACAGAGGUCCCAAGCGUUGUUCGGAUUCACUGGGCGUAAAGGGUGCGUAGGUGGCCGGGUAAGUCUGUUGUGAAAUCCCGCAGCUCAACUGCGGAACUGCAACGGAUACUCUCCGGCUAGAGGUAUGGAGGGGAGACUGGAAUUCUCGGUGUAGCAGUGAAAUGCGUAGAUAUCGAGAGGAACACCAGUGGCGAAGGCGAGUCUCUGGACAUUACCUGACACUGAGGCACGAAAGCCAGGGGAGCAAACGGG